GACGAACGCUGGCGGCGUGCCUAAUACAUGCAAGUAGAACGCUGAAGGAGGAGCUUGCUCUUCUGGAUGAGUUGCGAACGGGUGAGUAACGCGUAGGUAACCUGCCUGGUAGCGGGGGAUAACUAUUGGAAACGAUAGCUAAUACCGCAUAAGAGUAGAUGUUGCAUGACAUUUGCUUAAAAGGUGCAAUUGCAUCACUACCAGAUGGACCUGCGCUGUAUUAGCUAGUUGGUGGGGUAACGGCUCACCAAGGCGACGAUACAUAGCCGACCUGAGAGGGUGAUCGGCCACACUGGGACUGAGACACGGCCCAGACUCCUACGGGAGGCAGCAGUAGGGAAUCUUCGGCAAUGGACGGAAGUCUGACCGAGCAACGCCGCGUGAGUGAAGAAGGUUUUCGGAUCGUAAAGCUCUGUUGUAAGAGAAGAACGAGUGUGAGAGUGGAAAGUUCACACUGUGACGGUAUCUUACCAGAAAGGGACGGCUAACUACGUG
Molecule: ribosomal RNA, 495 nt
Filed under: uncultured bacterium
Lineage: Bacteria
Description: partial 16S ribosomal RNA
Rfam family: Bacterial small subunit ribosomal RNA
Source: RNAcentral